This is an RNA transcript of Cyclopterus lumpus (lumpfish), 2970 nucleotides long. RefSeq lists it as uncharacterized. The record is from RefSeq and is a predicted model, not a curated record. The transcript is spliced from 11 exons. Lineage: Eukaryota; Metazoa; Chordata; Actinopteri; Perciformes; Cyclopteridae.
CUGUAGAGGCUGAGGAGGAAGCACGGAGAAGACUCCUCAUCAUCACUUUCAACUCCUGACGUCUUCGCUGAUGUUCGCUGAUAUUUCACUUUCUUAUUAUUACGUUUUUUAAUAAAAACUCGAUGUGUUUGAUUGGCACUCAGAGGGUUAAAGGUUAAAGCUGCAGGUAUAACACACCAGGAGAAAGGAGGAGGAGCUGACGCUGAGGAGGAGGAGAAGAGGAGAAGAAGAGGAGGAGAAAAGGAGAAGAAGAGGAGAGGAACUGACUCAGUCUCACUGAGUCUCCAGAUCAACACCAUGAGGAACUUUCUCCUGCUCCUCCUCUCGCUGAUUACAGGUCUUUGCUCUGAAGUGAAGGUCUGCUCUGAUGGAUGGCUCACGUUCACCUGCAAAUAUCCUAAAAUACAAGGAAUAAUUGAAAGUUUUCACCUCGUUAAUCCACGAAAAACACUCAAACUAAACUCCGAGGUGUUUUCGUGGGAACGCCGAGGCCGAUAUUCGCUGUUCCACGACCCGCAGAAGAAAGACCUGCAGGUGAGCAUCAGACCGCUUCACCUCGAGGACUUUGGGACCCACCGCUGUCAAUUCUACCAAAAAACAAGAAAAGUGAAGGAGGUGAAAUUGGAAUUUGUUUCAGAUAAAAGCUGCUGCCAGUCACCUGUCAAUCAAACUGCGUACAGAAGCGCUCCGACCAGCAUCUCAUGCCCCGGACUCACGUUCUUCUGCAAAGACCACGAAGGUUCUCCGGUCUGCGAGGACGUGGUCUCCACAGAGUCUCAGAGGUCCAACGGGUCGUUCGCUCUCACAGAAACCGCCGUGUCCAUCGGUAACGUGUCCUCACGCCACGCCGGCGUCUACUGGUGUGGACGGCGAGGAGCGGCCGGAAAGGACGCACGGUACCGAGCCGCUUCCAGGAGGAUACAGCUGGAGGUCAAAGAUAUUAUAAACUUCAGAAGGUCCCCAGCGAUUGGCCAGAAGCUCACAUUCUGGUGUCGAUACCCGGAGAACACUCCGAUGAAGAAGUUCAUCUGUCGGGGAGAAGAUCCCUCCGACUGUGAUGUCAUGGUGAGCACCGCUGAGAGACCCAACGGCAGGUUCUCCAUGCAGGACGACCCCAAGAGGAGGAACAUCAGCAUCACAGUGAGGGACGUCCGUGAGGAGGACGCUGGGACGUACUGGUGUGGAGCAGAAAGCACUGGGAACAACCCGUUCUUCCACCGACUGGUGAUGACGGUCGUCAAACCACCAAAACCAGAACUUCCUGCUGCUGGGAGUCGAGGAAGCCUUCAGGUCCUCCUCACGGUGGCCGUCUGUGGGGUCCUUCUGCUGCUGUUUGUGCUCCUGGGGAUCCUCAUCUACAGGCGUAAGACAGGACAUUCAAAAAACAAAAGAAAUGCAGCAGCAGUGCAGCACAUCAAAGAGGAGUGCAGCUAUGAGGAGAUCCAGGAGCAGAACAGAGACCCAGGACAGGAAGUGAACACCAUUUAUGUCACCGCCGAUUUUCCCACAAUCCCCUCUGGCUCACUGCAUUACUCCACCAUUGACUUUGGUGCAGCCGGUGCACCGGUCACCAGACCUCCAUCCUCCACCUGUGAUGUGAAGGAGGCUCCUCUCUACUCAACGGUCUCCAGACCUCCAUCCUCCACCUGUGAUGUGAAGGAGGCUCCUCUCUACUCAACGGUCUCCAGACCUCCAUCCUCCACCUCUGAUGUGAAGGAGGCUCCUCUCUACUCAACGGUCUCCAGACCUCCAUCCUCCACCUCUGAUGUGAAGGAGGCUCCUCUCUACUCAAUGGUCUCCAGACCUCCAUCCUCCACCUCUGAUGUGAAGGAGGCUCCUCUCUACUCAAUGGUCUCCAGACCUCCAUCCUCCACCUGUGAUGUGAAGGAGGCUCCUCUCUACUCAAUGGUCUCCAGACCUCCAUCCUCCACCUGUGAUGUGAAGGAGGCUCCUCUCUACUCAAUGGUCUCCAGACCUCCAUCCUCCACCUGUGAUGUGAAGGAGGCUCCUCUCUACUCAAUGGUCUCCAGACCUCCAUCCUCCACCUGUGAUGUGAAGGAGGCUCCUCUCUACUCAACGGUCUCCAGACCUCCAUCCUCCACCUGUGAUGUGAAGGAGGCUCCUCUCUACUCAACGGUCUCCAGACCUCCAUCCUCCACCUGUGAUGUGAAGGAGGCUCCUCUCUACUCAACGGUCUCCAGACCUCCAUCCUCCACCUGUGAUGUGAAGGAGGCUCCUCUCUACUCAAUGGUCUCCAGACCUCCAUCCUCCACCUCUGGUGUGUAGGAGGCUCCUCUCUACUCAACGGUCUCCAGACCUCCAUCCUCCACCUCUGAUGUGAAGGAGGCUCCUCUCUACUCAACGGUCUCCAGACCUCCAUCCUCCACCUCUGAUGUGAAGGAGGCUCCUCUCUACUCAACGGUCUCCAGACCUCCAUCCUCCACCUCUGAUGUGAAGGAGGCUCCUCUCUACUCAAUGGUCUCCAGACCUCCAUCCUCCACCUCUGAUGUGAAGGAGGUUCCUCUCUCCUCACCAUCCCAUCGGCUCUCCUGAUCGAUCGUGGCUCUGCACGGAAGUCAAAGAGAAGAGAAGUCAUCGGCUCUCUACAUUCAUGGUCCCCAGACGAUGCCUCCUCUAGCGCCACCAUGAGGCCGACAUCCAGGAUGACCUAUAAUAGUGUCUUCAUCUCAUCGUGUUCAAUUCUCUGGGUUCUUAUUGGCCGACGCCUCGCAGGGCUGCAGCGUCUUCACCAUUUGAGUCAUUUCCUCCCUCGGGUUGAAUGAUGCCGCCUGCUCGGGGCAGCAGGAACCCUCAGGCCUGAUGCCGCCUGCUCGGGGCAACAGGAACCCUCAGGCCUGAUGCUACCUGCUCGGGGCAGCAGGAACCCUCAGGCCUGAUGCUACCUGCUCGGGGCAGCAGGAACCCUCAGGCCUGAUGCCGCCUGCUCGGGGCAGCAGGAACCCUCAGGCC